This is a non-coding RNA of Coturnix japonica (Japanese quail), 1419 nucleotides long. Lineage: Eukaryota; Metazoa; Chordata; Aves; Galliformes; Phasianidae. The record is from RefSeq and is a predicted model, not a curated record.
AUGCUGGUGAUGAAGUUGCCCAAGAUGACAUCCCAGCUCCAGAACAGAGCACCUGAUGGAGCUGUGGGUGACCAUCCUCAGUGCAGGGAGUGGGACCUGAUGGCCUUUAAAGGUCCCUUCCAACUCAAUGAUGCUAUGAAGACAUCCCCAUUCCUCUGCUUCCAUGAUUUUGGAGAAUCUGGAGCAUGCUAUGGUUCAUACAAGCAGUAUGGAGCACACUGAGAACAGGAUAGUUCCAACCUGCUGGCAAGCAGCUUUCAAGAACAAAGAAGAGCUGCCCCAUGGAGCUGAGAUACCAUCAGUUGGCUCUUGGUGUGGCGAAGGCUCCCACUCAACUUAGAGUUGUGAAAGUCCAUGUCACGUUGCUUUCUUCAUUUUACUGAUCCUUUGGAAGUGGUGGUGGAUGCCCCAUAUUCCAUCCCUGGAGGUGCCCAAGGCCAGCUUGGGUUGGGGCCCUGGGAGGCUGAGUUGGAAGGGGAGCAAUGGGGUUGGAACUGGAUGAUCUUCAAGGGCCCUUCCACAACCCAAACCAUUCUGUGAUUCUACGAUACUCCAUUCACCAUUAUAUUUUAACCAAAAUUUAAACUGGUUGAUUUUAGAGCUGAGUGCUGAGAGAUGACAUUGGAUAAAGCUUCAAGAAAUAUUUUAAAGGAUAUCUAAAGCAAAAGAGGAUCUCCUUCAAGAGCUAUUCAUGUAUUUAAGAGCUGGGUCUGCUUCCCACUGCUCCUAACAAAUCACUAAUUCUGUUUGUGGCUGUCCAUCUAAGUUGAUCCUUUCAAGGGAAGAACACAUCUGUUCUCACCUCCCAGAGGACAAGGCUGGGGCUCUUUGAUGUUCUCAAGUUCAGUGGACGUUAAUUAGUGUCAUUCUUGCAAAUUGAGAAAAAUCAGCUGACAGCUCUCGUGAGUGCCAUAUACAAAGAUUGGAAGAAGAUAACCAUCAGAGGAAAUACCUAGAGGAAAGGGGACUUCAAUAUCUGAGAUGAAGAUGAGCUCAAGACGUGGUGUUAGACUUGACUCGGUGCCUUUCUGCUCCAGGUGAAAUUCAGGCUGCAUCCUUUGGGCUGUUUGUUGAAUCACAUUUGCUGCAGCUGUUUUCUGCAGUUGUUCCAAGAAAGUUAUCAGCACAAAGGGAACCAGGUACCAGGACUGUCCUAACAACUGGAACUGGAAAUACUGCAGGACUGCUCCUAAGGAUGAGAUCUGUCCUAUUGGAGGAAGCGUGUGUUUGGUGCUCCCAGCGUGCCCUCUUGUGUUCUGGGAGAGCAUAUGUGAAAGGCAGAGGAGAAAACACCCACAAAGAAGCAGAGAAUUCAGCAGGGAUGACGAACAGCAAAACUGAAAUGAAGAUGGCAACUGUGGCAUCAGAGACAAAGCUGCAACGGAUCAGUCAGAAAAUUGGUGGUGUUUUAAACGCAUA